This 2444-nucleotide long non-coding RNA is filed under the name Mus musculus (house mouse). RNAcentral describes it as "long non-coding RNA chr18:52864188-52866632". Lineage: Eukaryota; Metazoa; Chordata; Mammalia; Rodentia; Muridae. The record is from RNAcentral.
UCACCUCGCCGCUGAUGGUUUUAGAAAAUUUGUGAUUCCAUCCAAUAGACCAAUUGAAAGGCAUGCCAGGCAUCUUUAUUGCCCUAAGGUGUUAAAAGUGAGCACCUUUAAGAGCAAAACAUCAUUAAAAACCUACUUAGGUAAGCAGUUUGUGGGGAAUUUUGUAGGAUGGAGAGAUACAUUAAACACUGAUACUAUUCUCAUAGAACUUAUAAAGACUGAGAUCAAAUUUUCCAGGGAUUUAAAUUAUGUUCAUGCAUCAAGUAUCUGUGCAUAAUUUCUAGAGGAGAAAUCCAGCCUCGAACGUUCUCCAAGUGGCCAUUGCUGCUGUGAAGUUUGUUCCCAUGGAUGACAAGAAUGUUCUGACGGUACUCGAGCAAAUCAUCAAUAAAGUGAAUGUGUUGAUACUCUUAAAGAGUUGAAAGGGAAAAAUCUUGCCUGCCGUUAGUAAUCGUUUUUGUAUGCUGUGUAGCGUAGGAGAAGUAAAUGGCUGUUUGUCUUUUGUUUGUUGCAUUUCUGCUCAUCCAAAUAUGUGACAUAGCAACAAGUUUGAGCGUUCUCAUGAAACCCAUUAGUUCCGUUUCCAUAAGGAGUUUUUCUUUCCUCCUUGGCGGUCGGGCCUAGCGGACACAGACUUCACCCUACGCCUGCAAAACAGCCAUAGGCUUGAGUGAGGGAAAAGACAACAUGCCCAAAUGUUGACACUCCUUCUUCAGUUUCUAGAUCUUUCUGGGGAAAGAAGUGUUUUCAUAAAACACAGACAGAAUUCAUUUACAUAGAGCUUUCCCUUAAUGGCUCCUGUCAGGAUAGAACAGCUGAGAAACAUAUGGUACCCAUUUCCCUGUAUCACUUGGGAAAAAAGUCCACAUGUAAAUAAAGCCAACAUAAAAGACUGGCCCUUUGAACCAAUGACCUUGUAUAAUACAUAAAUAUAUCAGUAAAGCACACUUGGUGUAUUGACCCACUAAGUCAUAUGGCUUUAAAUAUUUUUAAUCCAUUAUGAGAUUCAUAGUUUUUAGAAGCUCCAAAGGAUCAAGGUUAUUGACAAAAUAUUAUCAGAUAUCAUGCCAAAUAAUAAGCAUGUGUCUCAUAAUGUCUAUGAAUAAGUUUCCCCACAAUCUUUAUAGACUGGAGUGGGGAGUUAGUGAGUAAAAGCAAAUGCCUAUUUAUACCUUACACGCUCCAUGUUUUUUCUUUCCCUGUUGCUUUACGUGAAUCAAGUACUCUGUGUUCCUAAGGCAGAGAAAAUGGCUUGGCAGAAAUUUCUGGCAAAUUAUAACUGCUCAUAAUUUAAUAUUUUAAAACAGAAAGGAACAUAUUAAAGAUAGAAAAUUUUCUCAUUUACAGGGAACUGAUUGGAAUUAUUAGUCACUGCCUUUACAUAUUGACAUUGCAUAAAUGACUUUAAAGAAUCUAGCUUUCUCUGGCAGUUUUAACUCCUGUGGGUUUAUUAGCAGAGCUAUUCCCCUCCCAUGAAAUUAAGCUGCAAAUCCCUCAGAAGGAUUCACUUUAUGCAUGUUAAAAGAUUGAUGAAUUGUGCAAAGUGAAAUUCAAGGUCACAUACUUGUGUCAGAUAAUUGUGUGCUCAGGGCCAAGCAUUGCAUAUGGCUCAGAACUCUGGCCACAAAAUGGUGAGAGUAAGGGAGUGGGGAGUCUGAGGACGUCUAGAUGCCCCCCUUCCCUUCUCAGUAGCCCUUGCUAUAUAUGUUGCUCACUGGGAAGAAACCAUUCCUCCUCCCAUAACUUUUAGUGUUCUUUUCCAGAGCCAGAAGAGCCUCGGGGGUGUGCUAUGUACUACAGACCUUCUCAACCCAGGCUAAGAGAACUCAUGAUUUUAUGUAAGGACACUCAGUCGUCUCUUCGCUUUAUUCCAUAACUUCUCUGGAUGCUUUUAGGACACAUCUCAGCAUAAGCAAUGACUAGUAGUACCACAUUUAGGUAACUCUAUUAAGGAGCUCUUUAGCUGUAAGAGCUAGUCAUUAGCAGAGCCUAUUGUAAAAGUUACAGACCUGAGCACACCUACUGCCUCAGGGUCUCUCAGUCUUUGCCUGAGCCCAACAGGAAAGACAGGCAGGUUUACUUUGAAUUAAACCCUUCCCAACUACGCCUGUUUGGGGGAUAAAGAGUAGCUGGGAGCCUUACCUGUCUGACAUAACAUGAAAUAAGCCAAGCGCAGAAGAAUAGGAGCCUGUAAAGUAGCCUCCAGGAGUGCUGGGUCAUCUGCCUUCUAGGAGAGCAGUGUCUUGGAGAGGACACAGCCGUGCUGGGAGCAAGAACACUGCAGCUUCUCUAGUCUACCCUGACAUGUGCUACCAAUACAGCUUGCUUGUAUUGAGGUUGUGGUUUUUACCUUAUCUCCAAAUGUGUUUGGCUGCCUCACUGUCUAUCUCAACCAGACACUUAGUUGAAUGUAGGUCAGUGUGCUGUCUUUAUUUUAUCCGUAC